This 388-nucleotide ribosomal RNA is filed under the name Sphingomonas sp. HPC837. Its description in RNAcentral is "bacterial SSU rRNA". It matches the Rfam family "Bacterial small subunit ribosomal RNA", at positions 48 to 445 of the family's 1533-position model. The record is from RNAcentral. Lineage: Bacteria; Pseudomonadati; Pseudomonadota; Alphaproteobacteria; Sphingomonadales; Sphingomonadaceae.
CGGAGUCGUACACGGUACCCGUAUAGUUUCACGUUGUACCCGGUUUUCUGUAUUGGGGCCGCACGGGUGCGUAACGGGUGGGAAUCUACCCUUGGGUACGGAAUAACUCAGAGAAAUUUGUGCUAAUACCGUAUAAUGACUUCGGUCCAAAGAUUUAUCGCCCAAGGAUGAGCCCGCGUAAGAUUAGCUAGUUGGUGGGGUAAAAGCCUACCAAGGCGACGAUCUUUAGCUGGUCUGAGAGGAUGAUCAGCCACACUGGGACUGAGACACGGCCCAGACUCCUACGGGAGGCAGCAGUGGGGAAUAUUGGACAAUGGGCGAAAGCCUGAUCCAGCAAUGCCGCGUGAGUGAUGAAGGCCCUAGGGUUGUAAAGCUCUUUUACCCGGGA